This 661-nucleotide ribosomal RNA is filed under the name uncultured bacterium. RNAcentral's name for it is "bacterial SSU rRNA". It matches the Rfam family "Bacterial small subunit ribosomal RNA", at positions 90 to 737 of the family's 1533-position model. The record is from RNAcentral.
AGUGAGCGGCGGACGGGUGAGUAACACGUGGGCACCCUGCCCUGAAGCGGGGGAUAACAUUUGGAAACAGGUGCUAAUACCGCAUAACAACGAAAACCACAUGGUUUUCGUUUCAAAGAUGGUUUCGGCUAUCACUUCAGGAUGGGCCCGCGGUGCAUUAGCUUGUUGGUAGGGUAACGGCCUACCAAGGCAAUGAUGCAUAGCCGAGUUGAGAGACUGAUCGGCCACAAUGGAACUGAGACACGGUCCAUACUCCUACGGGAGGCAGCAGUAGGGAAUCUUCCACAAUGGGCGCAAGCCUGAUGGAGCGACACCGCGUGAGUGAAGAAGGGUUUCGGCUCGUAAAGCUCUGUUGUUGAAGAAGAACGUGCGUGAGAGUAACUGUCCACGCAGUGACGGUAUUCAACCAGAAAGUCACGGCUAACUACGUGCCAGCAGCCGCGGUAAUACGUAGGUGGCAAGCGUUAUCCGGAUUUAUUGGGCGUAAAGCGAGCGCGGGCGGUUGCUUAAGUCUGAUGUGAAGGCCUUCGGCUUAACCGAAGAAGUGCAUCGGAAACUGAGCGACUUGAGUGCAGAAGAGGACAGUGGAACUCCAUGUGUAGCGGUGGAAUGCGUAGAUAUAUGGAAGAACACCAGUGGCGAAGGCGGCUGUCUGGUCUGC